GGCAGCAGGAGUGGCUGCUGGAGCAGC
RNAcentral lists this non-coding RNA (27 nucleotides) under Homo sapiens (human). Lineage: Eukaryota; Metazoa; Chordata; Mammalia; Primates; Hominidae. The record is from RNAcentral.